RNAcentral lists this ribosomal RNA (509 nucleotides) under uncultured bacterium. Its description in RNAcentral is "bacterial SSU rRNA". It matches the Rfam family "Bacterial small subunit ribosomal RNA", at positions 15 to 518 of the family's 1533-position model. The record is from RNAcentral.
GAUUCUGGCUCAGGAUGAACGCUAGCGGCAGGCUUAACACAUGCAAGUCGAGGGGCAGCGGGAUGUAGCAAUACAGUUGCCGGCGACCGGCGGAUGGGUGCGUAACGCGUAUGCAACCUACCUAUACAGGGGAUAACCUUUCGAAAGGGAGACUAACACCCCAUAGUAUUGAUUUAAGGCAUCUUAGAUUAAUUAAAUAUUUAUAGGUAUAAGAUGGGCAUGCGUAUGAUUAGCUAGUUGGUAAGGUAACGGCUUACCAAGGCGACGAUCAUUAGGGGUUCUGAGAGGAAGGUCCCCACACCGGUACUGAGACACGGACCAGACUCCUACGGGAGGCAGCAGUGAGGAAUAUUGGUCAAUGGGCGCAAGCCUGAACCAGCCAUGCCGCGUGCAAGGAAGACGGCCUUAUGGGUUGUAAACUGCUUUUACAUAAGACUAACCGUAUAUUUGCGAAUAUACCUGAAUGUAUUAUGAGAAUAAGGAUCGGCUAACUCCGUGCCAGCCGCCGC